AUUGAACGCUGGCGGAAUGCUUUACACAUGCAAGUCGAACGGCAGCACGGGGCAACCUGGUGGCGAGUGGCGAACGGGUGAGUAAUACAUCGGAACGUGCCCAAUCGUGGGGGAUAACGUAGCGAAAGUUACGCUAAUACCGCAUACGAUCUACGGAUGAAAGCGGGGGAUCGCAAGACCUCGCGCGAGUGGAGCGGCCGAUGUCAGAUUAGGUAGUUGGUGGGGUAAAGGCUCACCAAGCCAACGAUCUGUAGCUGGUCUGAGAGGACGACCAGCCACACUGGAACUGAGACACGGUCCAGACUCCUACGGGAGGCAGCAGUGGGGAAUUUUGGACAAUGGGCGCAAGCCUGAUCCAGCCAUUCCGCGUGCAGGAUG
This 378-nucleotide ribosomal RNA is filed under the name uncultured bacterium. Its description in RNAcentral is "bacterial SSU rRNA". It matches the Rfam family "Bacterial small subunit ribosomal RNA", at positions 30 to 410 of the family's 1533-position model. The record is from RNAcentral.